Wyeomyia smithii (pitcher-plant mosquito) is the source of this 777-nucleotide long non-coding RNA. RefSeq lists it as uncharacterized. The transcript is spliced from 3 exons. NCBI's taxonomy places the organism in Eukaryota, Metazoa, Arthropoda, Insecta, Diptera, Culicidae. The record is from RefSeq and is a predicted model, not a curated record.
GCCUGCAUGAUGCAAUAAAACUUGUAUGUUUACAUUUUGUAAUCAUCUCGAACAGUAUUUUUUAGCAAGCUUCUUCGCGUUUUUUGAAGAUUUGUGAUAAGUAAGUAAACGUGUGGUUAUGUGCGAUUCGGCGGACAUGGAUUCUGAUGCGGCUGGAGUAAUUACAUGCUAUCUAGAUGUGACUGUUUUCGUUAAUGGUUUCGAGUGCUUGUUGCUGUAGAAAAUCAUCAUCAAAAAGCACGGCAAAUUUAAAAAAGAAGAUUGAUCUGCUUGCCGUACGUGAAUUUAUUCGAUAGGAAAAGUGUCAAUUCACCAGAAGAAGCUUGUUUUAGAAUCGGUGUCAACUUUGGCCCUGCUUUUUUGGCCACUUCAUGUUUGUAGGAAUGCGAAUUGUCGAAAUUUGAAUUUGUCCUCAUUUUAAAAGACGCUCAGUGUUGUUCCGAUAAGUCAAUCAGCCUGGUCUACAAGCUGUCUAAACAGCAGUGGUCAAUUGCAGAACACACCGGUUAAAGUUAAGCUGAAUCAUUGUACAAUAAAGGAGUUGAAGAAGACCAUCAAGGGCAAGCGACACAAACGGGACUUCCGUCAGAUUACCCUGCGUGGUGCUAGUGAUAUUAGGCGACCCUAGCGACCGGCCAUCGUCGAAUUUUUAUUAUGGGCGCUAUUGGAGAAUUGGCAUCAAACCGACUCGCUUAUGUAAUACAAAUAGGACGUAGCUUCCGUAAUAAAGCUCUAUAAGUUGGAAUGCACUUUGUGAGUAGACUAUGAAAAAUAAAU